This 505-nucleotide ribosomal RNA is filed under the name uncultured bacterium. RNAcentral describes it as "bacterial SSU rRNA". It matches the Rfam family "Bacterial small subunit ribosomal RNA", at positions 8 to 525 of the family's 1533-position model. The record is from RNAcentral.
AGAGUUUGAUCCUGGCUCAGGACGAACGCUGGCGGCGUGCUUAACACAUGCAAGUCGAACGAUGAAGCCCAGCUUGCUGGGUGGAAGAGUGGCGAACGGGUGAGUAACACGUGAGUAACCUGCCUAUCACUCUGGGAUAAGCGCUGGAAACGGCGUCUAAUACUGGAUAUGUCCCAUCACCGCAUGGUGUGUGGGUGGAAAGAUUUAUCGGUGGUAGGUGGACUCGCGGCCUAUCAGCUUGUUGGUGAGGUAAUGGCUCACCAAGGCGACGACGGGUAGCCGGCCUGAGAGGGUGACCGGCCACACUGGGACUGAGACACGGCCCAGACUCCUACGGGAGGCAGCAGUGGGGAAUAUUGCACAAUGGGCGCAAGCCUGAUGCAGCAACGCCGCGUGAGGGAUGACGGCCUUCGGGUUGUAAACCUCUUUUAGUAGGGAAGAAGCGCAAGUGACGGUACCUGCAGAAAAAGCACCGGCUAACUACGAGCCAGCAGCCGCGGUAAUA